UGGGGAAUAUUGGACAAUGGGCGAAAGCCUGAUCCAGCCAUGCCGCGUGUGUGAAGAAGGUCUUCGGAUUGUAAAGCACUUUAAGCGAGGAGGAGGCUACUUUAGUUAAUACCUAGAGAUAGUGGACGUUACUCGCAGAAUAAGCACCGGCUAACUCUGUGCCAGCAGCCGCGGUAAUACAGAGGGUGCAAGCGUUAAUCGGAUUUACUGGGCGUAAAGCGCGCGUAGGCGGCUAAUUAAGUCAAAUGUGAAAUCCCCGAGCUUAACUUGGGAAUUGCAUUCGAUACUGGUUAGCUAGAGUGUGGGAGAGGAUGGUAGAAUUCCAGGUGUAGCGGAGAAAUGCGUAGAGAUCUGGAGGAAUACCGAUGGCGAAGGCAGCCAUCUGGCCUAACACUGACGCUGAGGUGCGAAAGCAUGGGGAGCAAACAGG
This 430-nucleotide ribosomal RNA is filed under the name Pseudomonadota bacterium. RNAcentral's name for it is "Proteobacteria bacterium partial 16S ribosomal RNA". It matches the Rfam family "Bacterial small subunit ribosomal RNA", at positions 355 to 776 of the family's 1533-position model. The record is from RNAcentral. Lineage: Bacteria; Pseudomonadati; Pseudomonadota.